GAGCACAUCCGUUGUAGAAGUUCAUCUGGAAUCCAUCCACUGUAGAAGUUCGGAUGGAGUCAGGUUCUUGCAGAAGUCCAGAAGGAGGCCGCUUGUUGUAGAAGCUCGGAUGGAGAUUGGUUGCCGUGGAAGCCCUGCUGUUGGAGAAGUCCGAACAUUGAUGAAGCUCGAAAGAAGCUCAGAGUAAAGUUGAUCAUGACAGGAGGAAGUCUGGAAGAGAUUCGGAGAGUAGUCGAUCACUGUAGAAAAUUGACUGAUAUUGAAGCCCAGAGAGCAUUUGGAGCAAUCCGAUAGACGACUGAAGGAGCU
RNAcentral lists this long non-coding RNA (309 nucleotides) under Elaeis guineensis (African oil palm). RNAcentral's name for it is "long non-coding RNA (EGUI_LNC018365)". Lineage: Eukaryota; Viridiplantae; Streptophyta; Magnoliopsida; Arecales; Arecaceae. The record is from RNAcentral.